This 160-nucleotide microRNA precursor is filed under the name Oryza brachyantha (malo sina). Its description in RNAcentral is "MIR812 microRNA precursor family". It matches the Rfam family "MIR812 microRNA precursor family", at positions 27 to 193 of the family's 205-position model. The record is from Rfam by way of RNAcentral. Lineage: Eukaryota; Viridiplantae; Streptophyta; Magnoliopsida; Poales; Poaceae.
UAUAAUCUUUGGCUCUUCGUCUUAUUCAAAUUUUUUUAUGAUUGAUAUUUUUGUUUUUAUUAGAUGAUAAAUUAUAAAUAGUAGUGACUAAUUUUUUUCUAAUUUCCUGAAAAUUUUUCAAAUAAGACGGAUGGUCAAACGCUGGGCACAAAAACCGAAG